GCGCAAUAGCGGGCGCCCCCUGCGAUUAACAGGCUCUACCACCCCGAGAUCAGCGCUGCUUGGGGCGCUGGGAGGGUGCGCGGCUGUCCCGCGCGCGCGACUGCGGAACAGGCUUCCAGCUGGCGGGGACCUGGAGGGCGACAGGAUCUGAGACAUGUCCUCGGAUUGGACGCCGCGGCUUCAGUAGAUGUAACUCCCUUUCCGAUUGGUUGGAUUCAGGUACCACUUGGGGACAGCGGCCUGGUUGGGAUCGAAUGGGGUCUAGGUGGAAGGUUCGUUCUCCUCUCCGGCCACGCCCCUUUGCUAGCGUUCCAGGACUGAGUGCCCUUCAGGGGACCUGAAACACUGCGAGGCCCGGAAAGGGCCCCUGGCUAUUACCAACCCAGGGCUUACUGCCACUCCCUAAUUACUAUGCACCCGGCGGCUUAGUUGUUUGCAGGAAAAAAGACUUGGGUGGCUCUGGAGCCCAGCACAAGUCUAGAGCAACUUUAACCAGUUCCAGUGAGUUGGGAUAAAUAAAUGCAGUGUGGUUCUACCAAAGGAGUAGAUGUCUUGCUGGAGAAGUCAGCACCUGCGCAGGCAAAUUGAGUACUAGACAGUUUAUGAGUAAAGUUGCGAGAAACACAGAAACAUCGUCUUUGCCAUAGGGAACACCAGGAUUGUUUUGUUAGUUAUGCACUAAAGCUCAGACCAAUAGAGUCAGGGUCCAGCUCUCUUAAAAGGUAAGGUACACACUAACAAAACAAUCCUGGUACAUUACAAGAGAGGAUGAAAAAAAUGUCAAGGGGAUUUGCCUUUGUGGCUCAGUGAUAAUGAAUACAACCAGUAUCCAUGAAGAUGCAGGUUCGAUCCCUGGCCUUGCUCAGUGGGUUAAGGAUCUGGGGUUGCCGUGAGCUACGGUGCAGAUUGAAGACACAGCUUGGAUCUGUCAUUACUGUGGCUGUGGCAUCGACUGGCAGCUCCAGCUCCAAUUUGACCCCUAGCCUGGGAACUUCCAUAUGCCGCAGGUACGGCCCUGAAAAGACAAAAAAAAAAAAAAAAAAAAAAAAAAAAAAAAAGACUUUUUAUAGUUAUACCCAAGCUUUCCAGAUAAUUUCAUAUUUGCUUGGUGUUCGUCUUUGCUUUGGAUUCUUUUAGGCUAAUUUUUAUCUCUGAUCUUCCCUUCUUUACUCCACUCCCUUCUUCUUUGCCAUAAGCAAAAGUGACUGUGCUCUUGCCUAUUUCUGGCCUGUCUUGAAUGUAAUCUACCUUAUGUAACCUAAGGCAUCUGGCGCAGUUAGGACACUGGUUUCGUUAGACGUCUGUGACUAUCUUUGCUCCAGGUCCAGGAGCCCUGGGUGUUGGGAUGCUUUCUGACACCCUCUAAAAAGAAAAGAUGGACUUGUUCUGUUGGCACAGUUUGUCAGAAACAAACAGAAGGCUGCGUCUGUUUUCCAGAAGUCACUUUUGUAGAAGGAGUACACAGUUGGUUAGCACAACUCAUUUGUGUUCGUGCUUCUUGAAGAUCAAAUCACACCAACAAACACAAUGGACUCUUUUAAGAAAUAUGACUCUUUAGAGUCAAACUCGAAAUU
Molecule: long non-coding RNA, 1574 nt
Filed under: Sus scrofa (pig)
Lineage: Eukaryota; Metazoa; Chordata; Mammalia; Artiodactyla; Suidae
Description: lncRNA (ENSSSCG00005024613.1)
Source: RNAcentral